AGGCCACGGAAACAAAUCAAAAUGUUCCGGUGACUACGACCCGGGCACAACUCCCCGUCUCGGUCACCAGUCAACGCGAUACAAGCUAUCGACAACCCAAGCACACCGGUUGCGUAACGACUGUUGACUUGCACGCUCGCGGCGCACAACCCAGGGAGCACGCUCCGCAGCGGGUACACAACCACCGUUUGGGAAGGAGUUAGUGUUGUCGGCGGUCUCGGCGGCGCGGAGAGGAAGGAGGAGCGGUGGGGGAGGGCGCCGCGCGUAGGGAGCCUAGUAGCACGGGUUGAGGGGAAGCACAAAGAGGAGGAGGGUCUUGGUGUAGGGUAGCGAAUCCGAGGAACCACCGCCGGCCGAGUUCCGCUCGGACCGCGUCCGCCCCUCUUCGUCGCCCCGCCGCCUACACCCACCCUCUCACGGCUUGCCGCGGCAGUAAUAGCGGGGCGGUUCUGCGUAGCUUCUUCCUGGUCCUAGAGUGGGAGCAGGGAAGAACUACGUGGAGGGGUUCUGCAACGCGGCGGCUGACGUCAUCGGUCCCAACCGCAACCACUACAGACAUCAUAAAAGCAGGAGAGGUCAGUGUGUUAAGGAUCCAAUACCCUGACCUAGAGGUAAAAGGUUCUAAGAAUCGACUAUUCAUAUAACACGCCUUUUUAGAGAUGACUUACUGUUUAGGUUCGUUAGCUGCUUCUAAAGUACGAGUUGGAGGGAGUGCCGGGGUACAAGCCGAUGAAAGGUCAAAACAAUCAAAAGAAGAACCAUCGUGACUUGUGGUACCUUUGUACCCACAGCACCGGUGUGUGUACGUAAAACAGCAGGAGGAAUUUUAAGUCAAUCUAAUAUACGUUUGUACAUCGGCACAAAUGAAUUCUAGGUUAAUCUACUUACAACAAAUAAAAAGGUAUAUCAAAGAUAAAUGUUUCCGGAGUAUACUUUCAACCCCUGUACGGCACUUGUAUACCAAAACACUAGAUACCAGAACUCAGUAUACAACCUACCCACUAUUACCUUUAAAGAACUCCUAUUUGGGCACGUAUUCAAAACACUCUCAAUUUGGACAAAAUACUCUCCAUUUCGACAAAAAACUCUCAAUUUGGGCACGUAUGCUUACAUAAAAAAAUCUUGACCAGUUUGAUAAAAAACACUCUCAAUUUCGACAAAAAACCUCCUGUUUGGGCACUUAUUCAAAGAGUAUACAUAUCUAAUUAAUUAUCCUACCGUUAAAUUCAAAUAACCUCGAGAAAAAUUCUUCACCCCCAGACGAAACCAAAGAACGACAAACGUAUAAGAGAAUUUUUGUGAACUGACUGACGUCGACUGACAAAAAUGUAGUUAUUAUACCCGUCAACUUAUACCGCAAAAGUUCACUUCCUAAAGUUUUUAGAUUAUACCGUACGGAUAAAAAGUACCUUUUUGUUUACCAUGGAAUAAAUGAUAAAUCAAAAAUUCGAUCUGAUUAAACUGAUGUGCGCAGGACUCCACGGAAGACAAAACCUUAUCAGUAUCUUACGAGGAAUAAUGCUCUACAAGGAAACAGUGAUAAACUUCAAGACGGAUCCCACCGGAAACAGAAUCAAAUGUCGAAGUAUACCGAUGGAUACAUAUUGUAUACAUACAAGACAAACUUGACAGAGUUUAGUGUAUCUCUACAAUUUAAAAGUUAAACAACGGAGCGCCAGCACACUGUAGUGGUACAAAUGAGGUCUUUUCACCUUACACGUCUCAAAAACACAACUAAUCAGUUUAUAAACGAAACGGAAUUUCUGAGAGGGGUAGAUACAAGGUCCAACACCGUUGCGACGUCUAUACGGGUAACGGUAACUCGUAAAGAUAGAUAUACGAAGAUGUCUCAUAAACCAAAAACACGAUAUGCGAACUACUUUAUUAAAGGAAUAUUCGACCCUGUUCCGCAAACAUCAACUAUAAACAUGAUAUUCGAGUUAAAAAAACCAAGUAGAGUAGAGACCAAUAAAAAAGCAAAAAACACAAAGACAUCGUAUAAUAGUAAUCGUAUAUUUUGGAGAAUAUAAAGAACAAAAGUUGUUAAUAAGAAACCGUCCCUUCUAAUACUAUUGUGAUUCUAAUAGUACUUUCCUAAGUCCCGAAAAAAACUUAGGUCUAAUAGUGUGUACUACGUUUUAAUUGUUGGUGCUGAAACUUUAUACCUACUACUACGAAUAAUACACGAUCUUUAGUUUAUACAUUUCCUCUUCUAUUACAAACGCUUCCACACAUAUAACUUGUUCGUAGGACUAACUACACAAAAAGACAACAAAGAACUACACGGGAGUACGUCGACACAGGUAUAUAUGACUAACAAUAUGAAUAACAACACACUCAACGCCCUCUCCCCUCUCUCUAUGCCCAACUAAGACCCAUUUGAAACGAAUUAAACAACCUCUUUUACGAGCUAUCUAGAGUACCUACCUACUCCAACACCGUCAUCAAGAGCCCACGUUAUAGAUAGAACUAUCUCACUGGUUGGUCCCGUGUAAUCUUCGUCUUCUUCUCCUUUGCAAACCCGGCAGAUACCGCAACUUCUAAGUCGCAAAGACAGAACACAUGUACGUGCCGGUCAAGUCAUUGAUCUACCGGAAAAGAUGACAUGACCACGACGAUGAAAAGUGUACGAUCGAAGAAACCUUUCGCGGUUGUUACACAUGUUGUACAUUUCUCAGGUAGAACUUCCUUGUCUUCGUCUUGAUACCUCGACUACAUAAUUACCAGUUAGUACCUUAAGUCAGAGCUACUCGAAUUGAUUACUACACACUCAACUCGGAAUCCAGUCAAAGUUUCAUUGCCUUCAUGUUCUCUAAUGAACUUUUAUGUGUAAAAAAGUUACGCUGUACCAGAAUUCACGCUAAAAUAUGGUGGUUUAAUUUUACACCAUAUAGAGUAACACUGUUGUUCG
Molecule: ribosomal RNA, 2911 nt
Filed under: Triticum aestivum (bread wheat)
Lineage: Eukaryota; Viridiplantae; Streptophyta; Magnoliopsida; Poales; Poaceae
Description: partial small subunit ribosomal RNA
Source: RNAcentral